GUUUAUGGCCAUACCACCCUGAAAAUGCUCAAUCUCCUAUGAUCUCCAAAGCUAACUAAGUAGGAUCAGUUCUGGUUGUACGUGAAUGGGGAGAAAGAACUCCAGAUCAUAAUAUACU
This 118-nucleotide ribosomal RNA is filed under the name Fukomys damarensis (Damara mole-rat). The record is from RNAcentral. Lineage: Eukaryota; Metazoa; Chordata; Mammalia; Rodentia; Bathyergidae.